RNAcentral lists this ribosomal RNA (276 nucleotides) under unidentified marine bacterioplankton. RNAcentral's name for it is "partial 16S ribosomal RNA". It matches the Rfam family "Bacterial small subunit ribosomal RNA", at positions 62 to 339 of the family's 1533-position model. The record is from RNAcentral.
UCGAACGAUGAAGGGGAGCUUGCUCCCUGGAAUAGUGGCGAACGGGUGAGUAACACGUGAGCAACCUGCCCCUAACUCUGGGAUAACGCUUCGAAAGGAGUGCUAAUACCGGAUAUGAGCCUGGAAGACAUCUUCUGGGUUGGAAAGUUUUUCGGUUAGGGAUGGGCUCGCGGCCUAUCAGCUUGUUGGCGGGGUAAAGGCCCACCAAGGCGACGAUCCGUAGCUGGUCUGAGAGGAUGAUCAGCCACACUGGGACUGAGACACGGCCCAGACUCC